Molecule: ribosomal RNA, 408 nt
Filed under: Fusobacteriota bacterium
Lineage: Bacteria; Fusobacteriati; Fusobacteriota
Description: Fusobacteria bacterium partial 16S ribosomal RNA
Rfam family: Bacterial small subunit ribosomal RNA
Source: RNAcentral
UGGGGAAUAUUGCACAAUGGACGGAAGUCUGAUGCAGCAACGCCGCGUGCGGGAUGACGGCCUUCGGGUUGUAAACCGCUUUUUCUCAUGACGAAGUUUUUUGACGGUAGUGGGGGAAGAAGCACCGGCUAACUACGUGCCAGCAGCCGCGGUGAUACGUAGGGUGCGAGCGUUGUCCGGAAUUAUUGGGCGUAAAGAGCUGGUAGGCGGUUUGUCGCGUCGAUAGUGCAAACUCAGUGCUUAACGCUGAGCCUGCUGUUGAUACGGGCAGACUAGAGGAAGGUAGGGGAGAAUGGAAUUCCCGGUGGAGCGGUGGAAUGCGCAGAUAUCGGGAGGAACACCGGUGGCGAAGGCGGUUCUCUGGGCCUUUCCUGACGCUGAGAAGCGAAAGCGUGGGGAGCGAACAGG